AUGAAUGUUAUAUCGCUCAUGGUGUCUAAUAGAUACCUCUACAUUUUUUGCAAUACAUGUGCUAGGAAUGUGGAACCUCUUCUACACGUCGACAAGAUUAAUUCUUGUAUUUGCCAGCCCCUCUUCAGGCUGGCUUUUUUUUGU
Molecule: non-coding RNA, 144 nt
Filed under: Vibrio genomosp. F6 str. FF-238
Lineage: Bacteria; Pseudomonadati; Pseudomonadota; Gammaproteobacteria; Vibrionales; Vibrionaceae
Description: Vibrio RNA VqmR
Rfam family: Vibrio RNA VqmR
About the family: In fact, VqmR which is highly conserved in vibrionaceae, was shown to strongly inhibit biofilm formation through the repression of vpsT gene and could be the link between biofilm formation and quorum sensing.
Source: Rfam by way of RNAcentral